CUUCAUCGGCCUGUUGCGGGCAGAUGAAAUGGAUGUGCGAGUCGAUGCCGCCGGCCGUGAGGAUGAGCCCUUCGCCGGCGAUCGCCUCGGUGGUGACGCCGACGAUCAUCGACGGCGUCACGCCGCUCAUGACCGCGGGAUUUCCGGCCUUGCCGAUGCCGACGAUACGGCCGUGCUUGAGGCCGACGUCGGCCUUGUAGAUGCCGGUCCAGUCGACGAUGAGCGCGUUGGUGAUGACCACGUCGAGCGCAUGAUCGUCGUCGGCGCCGGGCAUUUGACCCAUCUGGUCCCGAAG
RNAcentral lists this small RNA (295 nucleotides) under Labilithrix luteola. RNAcentral's name for it is "5' ureB small RNA". It matches the Rfam family "5' ureB small RNA". Lineage: Bacteria; Pseudomonadati; Myxococcota; Polyangiales; Labilitrichaceae. The record is from Rfam by way of RNAcentral.